This 273-nucleotide long non-coding RNA is filed under the name Elaeis guineensis (African oil palm). RNAcentral describes it as "long non-coding RNA (EGUI_LNC057997)". The record is from RNAcentral. Lineage: Eukaryota; Viridiplantae; Streptophyta; Magnoliopsida; Arecales; Arecaceae.
CUUUAUAAAAAUUUCUGAUUGGAGCACCAUGAUCACUGAUGUGCUAGCAUCUUGUAGAUCUCACUUCUCAUCCUUGGAUCUAGAUCUCUUCUUCUAGAUCUUGAAGAAGGAGAUCGCUGUGCGAACUCUUUCGUACAGAUCCGAUGGGAUCUGAAUUAGAUCACUAUGAAGAGAAAAAAAAUCUUUCUUCUUCUCUUCUUCUCUCUCUUUUUCUCUCUUAGAUCUAAUCUCUAUUAGAUUUGGGCAUUGGAUGAAGGGGAGAAGGGAGGAGGA